RNAcentral lists this unclassified non-coding RNA (358 nucleotides) under soil metagenome. RNAcentral describes it as "partial contains 5.8S ribosomal RNA, internal transcribed spacer 2, and large subunit ribosomal RNA". The stretch from base 1 to 119 matches the Rfam family "5.8S ribosomal RNA", at positions 35 to 154 of the family's 154-position model. The record is from RNAcentral.
GAUGAAGAACGCAGUGAAAUGCGAUAAGUAAUGUGAAUUGCAGAAUCUCGUGAAUCAUUAAUCUUUGAACGCACAUUGCGCCCUAUGGUAUUCCGUAGGGCAUGCCUGUCUGAGCGUCAGCUCGUCUUCUCAAGCUCUUUUGCUUGGAUAACAUUAAGGAAGCAUGUUCUUGCAACUUGCUCCUUAGAAAUACAUAGGCGGUACGGUUCUAGCAAACCAGACGUAAUAAAUAUUCUUUUAUAUAUUCGUCCUUUGUUAAUAGUGCUGUUGCUUGCCUCUUAAUCCACAUCUUUUUUCAAGAUGACCUCAGAUCAGGUAGGGAUACCCGCUGAACUUAAGCAUAUCAAUAAGCGGAGGA